GUAGUCCACGCUGUAAACGAUGUCGAUUUGGAGGUUGUGCCCUUGAGGCGUGGCUUCCGGAGCUAACGCGUUAAAUCGACCGCCUGGGGAGUACGGCCGCAAGGUUAAAACUCAAAUGAAUUGACGGGGGCCCGCACAAGCGGUGGAGCAUGUGGUUUAAUUCGAUGCAACGCGAAGAACCUUACCUACUCUUGACAUCCAGAGAACUUAGCAGAGAUGCUUUGGUGCCUUCGGGAACUCUGAGACAGGUGCUGCAUGGCUGUCGUCAGCUCGUGUUGUGAAAUGUUGGGUUAAGUCCCGCAACGAGCGCAACCCUUAUCCUUUGUUGCCAGCGGUUCGGCCGGGAACUCAAAGGAGACUGCCAGUGAUAAACUGGAGGAAGGUGGGGAUGACGUCAAGUCAUCAUGGCCCUUACGAGUAGGGCUACACACGUGCUACAAUGGCAUAUACAAAGAGAAGCGACCUCGCGAGAGCAAGCGGACCUCAUAAAGUAUGUCGUAGUCCGGAUUGGAGUCUGCAACUCGACUCCAUGAAGUCGGAAUCGCUAGUAAUCGUAGAUCAGAAUGCUACGGUGAAUACGUUCCCGGGCCUUGUACACACCGCCCGUCAACCAUGGGGAGUGGGUUGCAAAAGAAGUAGGUAGCUUAACCUUCGGGAGGGCGCUUACCACUUUGUGAUUC
RNAcentral lists this ribosomal RNA (680 nucleotides) under uncultured Serratia sp. RNAcentral's name for it is "bacterial SSU rRNA". It matches the Rfam family "Bacterial small subunit ribosomal RNA", at positions 790 to 1470 of the family's 1533-position model. The record is from RNAcentral. Lineage: Bacteria; Pseudomonadati; Pseudomonadota; Gammaproteobacteria; Enterobacterales; Yersiniaceae.